UGCCUUACACAUGCAAGUCGAACGGCAGCACGGGUGCUUGCACCUGGUGGCGAGUGGCGAACGGGUGAGUAAUAUAUCGGAACGUACCCUAUCGUGGGGGAUAACGCAGCGAAAGUUGCGCUAAUACCGCAUACGCCCUAAGGGGGAAAGCAGGGGACCGUAAGGCCUUGCGCGAUUAGAGCGGCCGAUAUCUGAUUAGCUAGUUGGUGAGGUAAAGGCUCACCAAGGCGACGAUCAGUAGCUGGUCUGAGAGGACGAUCAGCCACACUGGGACUGAGACACGGCCCAGACUCCUACGGGAGGCAGCAGUGGGGAAUUUUGGACAAUGGGGGCAACCCUGAUCCAGCAAUGCCGCGUGAGUGAAGAAGGCCUUCGGGUUGUAAAGCUC
This 388-nucleotide ribosomal RNA is filed under the name uncultured organism. Its description in RNAcentral is "bacterial SSU rRNA". It matches the Rfam family "Bacterial small subunit ribosomal RNA", at positions 45 to 433 of the family's 1533-position model. The record is from RNAcentral.